AAAAAAGGUAAGCUACUAAGAGCGAAUGGUGGAUGCCUUGACUGGUAAAGGCGAUGAAGGACGUACUAGACUGCGAUAAGCUACGGGGAGCUGUCAAGAAGCUUUGAUCCGUAGAUUUCCGAAUGGGGCAACCCAAUGUAUAGAGAUAUACAUUACCUAUAUAGGAGCGAACGAGGGGAAUUGAAACAUCUUAGUACCCUCAGGAAAAGAAAUCAAUAGAGAUUGCGUCAGUAGCGGCGAGCGAAAGCGCAA
This 252-nucleotide ribosomal RNA is filed under the name Campylobacter jejuni. RNAcentral describes it as "partial 23S ribosomal RNA". It matches the Rfam family "Bacterial large subunit ribosomal RNA", at positions 1 to 264 of the family's 2925-position model. The record is from RNAcentral. Lineage: Bacteria; Pseudomonadati; Campylobacterota; Epsilonproteobacteria; Campylobacterales; Campylobacteraceae.